AGAGAGAGAAAUUGAUAUAGAGAUAGAUACAAAUACAUAGAGAGAUAAAGCUAUUAGAUAGAUAUGGAGCGAUAGAUUGAUCGAUGGAUCUCGGCACACAUAUUAGAGUCCGCUUUGAAGACACCCAGGGAGCCGAGCUCAGAAGGGGCCGAGCUGCCUCUUAACCGAGGACCAAGAGGGGCCAGGUGCGGGACAACCCGGUGAGGGCCUUUGGGGGGACAGGGUGUGUUUGUCGGGAGGAGGGAGGAGCCAACUGGGUGAGCUCCUUUCAGACAAGGGCUGCUUCUGUUCUUUCUCUGCAUUCCUUGCGCUUCCUUCCCCCAUCUUGCCUAGGAGGGGGUUUUGAAAGGCUAAGACAGAAGCUAAGAAACUAGGACGUGAACCCGGCUCUCUCCUGAUUCCAAGACCACUGCUCAGUCUGCCAGCCCAUCUUGCCAGCCCAUUUUACAGCGCCUUCUCGGCCCGGAUCUGCCGCAGACCUCGGAGAUGGCCAAAGACCACAGAGACGGCGGCCUCCAGGAUGGCCCCGAUGUGGAGGCCGAUUGAUCCCUGCUCCCAGGAGAAAUGAGGGAGGCCAGACUGUACAAAGAAGCCCAUUCAGGCCAUCCAAGCAACCUUCCCCAGGUGCUUUGGGCGGGGCCGUUAAAGGCAGAUUCUCAAACCUUUUUUAAAAGAAGUUUUCCACUUGAAAAGCUCCAAGGCGACUUUGGUUUCUGAAGGUGCUCCCGAGUUCCUUGCUGAGAGUCAGAGAAGAGGGAAAUGACCCUGCGUGUCAGAGAAAAAGCAUCUCCCCUUCACUCCUCCGGGGAGAAAUCAAAUUCCAUCCCAUCAAUCUUUCUUCCAUGGCAGAGUGUGCAGGGUACCACACGGUGCACAAUCCUGACCCUGAACGGGGCCAUAAAAUACUGAUUUUAAAAGCAAAUCUUAAAUUAGGAGACGGUGCUAAAGGGCCGCUUUGCAGAGCUCCAAGCACUACACGCACGCUGGCCAUCAGUGUUCAAGGGCUGGGAUUUUCUAUUACACGGUCUCUUAGGGAGUCUCGGCAACGUCGGUGUCCCCCAGCCCCAAAGGGCUGAGUCUGGAGAGAGAAGAAGCCUUAGAUGCCAUCUCAGUUAAUUCCUUCAUUGUACAGUCAGGGAAAAUGAGACUCAGGGACAUUAUGGGACACAAGGAAGAUGUGUCCGGACUAGGACUUAAACCUUCCCCGGUUCAAUAAGUAUGUAUUGAGAAUUUACUGUGUGAAUAAAACUGGGGUAGGUGCUGAGAAAGACACAGAGCUCGCGAAGAACCCAUCUCGUCCUUGCCUCAGAGAGCUCACGGCUCGGAGGGGAGACGAGGAAAAAACCCCCCAAAACGAUGUUGUAGGGUCGGGGUAUCCAGCACGAGGGCCCCGAGCUAGAUUAAAAUGGAAUUGGGAAAUACUGGAUAAUGAUGGAAAAAAACAUGACCUAGAUGGUGUUAAUGUACAGAGAUCCUUAUGUGUGGUUUAGUGGCUCAUUUCCACUGAGUUAGAGUUAGAGACGGGGACGGUCCGAGCUGGGGAGAAAAGCAUCCUCAGAAAGGGGCCGUCAAACCCCACACAAAGUCUCGUCAAGUUCAGGCCAUUUUCCUCUGGGAAGGCUGCAUCUCACAUGAUGGACACCCAGCCCCCAGCCACAAACAACCCACUGGCACCCAGAGAACUAAGCCCUGUGGGGACGGGCCCCGGGGCCCCGGGUCCCACUGUUAGGGCCAUGGCGCAGUUGUGAGCCCAAGGGCCCUCACAAAUGCUGGUGAUUGGGCAAUUUUAUCUGCAAAUUUAGAAGACAAGCCCCUAAGUGUAUGUUCGCUUCUACCCUAGCGCCUACCACAAUGCUCUGGGCCCCCAAGAAAUGCUUUUUUCAGGAAAGGGGAAGGGAAAAUGCAUUUCUGUACAGCACCUACAAUGUCCUAAGCAACUUGGUGGCUAAACUGUGCUAAGCAAUUCAUAAUUAUCUCAUUUGAUCCUCAAAACAAGCUUGGGGGAAAGAUGCUGCUGUUACCCUCAUUUUACACAUGAAAAAACUGAGGCAAAUAGCCAGAAAGUGACUUGUCCAGAAUCACACAGCUGGAAGUGUCUGUGGCUGGACAGAAUUUCAGGACUUGAUUUAUAGAAAAUAAGGAGAAAAGGCAUGGACUUCCAACUCUGUCUUUAAAAAAGGGAGGACAAAGUCAGGAUUGCAAAAAAGGCAGCAACUCACUCCAAAACCCAAUGAGAAGAAUGCUGAGAAAUGCAGAAUUGGCCAAAUGUAAAAAAAAAAAAAAAAAAAAGGAAAGGGG
Sarcophilus harrisii (Tasmanian devil) is the source of this 2298-nucleotide long non-coding RNA. RefSeq lists it as uncharacterized. The transcript is spliced from 2 exons. The record is from RefSeq and is a predicted model, not a curated record. Lineage: Eukaryota; Metazoa; Chordata; Mammalia; Dasyuromorphia; Dasyuridae.